This 400-nucleotide ribosomal RNA is filed under the name Thraustochytrium sp. LLF1b. RNAcentral describes it as "partial Eukaryotic small subunit ribosomal RNA". The record is from RNAcentral. Lineage: Eukaryota; Bigyra; Thraustochytrida; Thraustochytriidae.
AACAGCACAAACAUCACACAUCUUGCCCACACCUACCUGUGCACAUGUGCACACAAGCAAGAGGUCGGGCAUGUUGCUGGACUCAUGCGGAAGAAUGUUCAAACAUGAGUGCAACCGCGCCAGGCUUCCUGAGGCCGCAGUGCAGUGACAACACAAACACCACAGCUCACAGGAAAUCAAGGCGCAAGAGCCACAAUGAAGACAAUAAAGCCUUCAGAGCUACUCUGGCGCCUGCCCUCAAACAAACAAACCCACAAAGACUCAUUUGAAGAGAGCACGUCGAUACACUACCCGCAGGCGUGUGCAUGCAACAAACGGCGAAAGCUCGCACAGGAGAGCUCGAAAGCUUUACCUGCGCUCGCACCAUUUCGCUCCUCGUCGGAGGCGCCGCAACUGGCAG